UUGUUGGUUUGCACAUGAAGGGGAACUUAAAUUGCUAUUGCACAGAAGCAGUGAAUAUCCUGGCACUGACCGGUUUAGUGUUGCUAUUCCUUUCUGUCUGUGAGCAGCAGUGAGUGUGAUGUGAGUCAGUGCGCGGUCCACCCGCACCAAGCUCGCUGCGACCUGAAUUUCCUGCACAAUGACCAACAGCUCCAAGUAACCAGUGAGACAGCGUCAUCCUCAGGAACAUGGGCUCAGGUCUCAGGCUCUGGCUCUUCCUCUUAGGGCCUGUUGUCCCUCUGAAAGUGAUUGAGUCUCCUCCAGUUCUCUCCCUCCUGAGAGGGCAGACAGCUCGGAUCAACUGCAGCCUGAUACCGGGAGAGGAGCGGGCAGAGCUGCGAAACCUGAAAUCUAUCUGACUGCGGAUCCCCAGAAUGAAGGUGUUGGGAUUCAGACACUGACUUGUUUGGCUGCGGGAUUUUUCCCGAGGGGUCUGACCAUUUCCUGGAUUGUUGAGGGGGAUGUCUCCUAUCAGGAGGAGCCGGGCUCGCUGACAGUAAACACGGACAGCAGUUACAACCUGAGCUCCCGGCUGCGGAUUGCAAGGCCCCAGCGGGAGCAGGGAGCCACCGUCUCCUGUCACAUUCAGCACAGGACCUUCACUGGGUCAGUGAGGACAAGGCUCAGAGACAGUCCAGGUUUUUCUAAGUAUUAUUACCUCGGCCUGCUGAGUCUUAUCCUUAUUGUACCGUUUUGUCUUUGGAUCACAAAGAGUCAAUGCUAUAAACAGAAGAAUG
This is a non-coding RNA of Chiloscyllium plagiosum (whitespotted bambooshark), 776 nucleotides long. The record is from RefSeq and is a predicted model, not a curated record. NCBI's taxonomy places the organism in Eukaryota, Metazoa, Chordata, Chondrichthyes, Orectolobiformes, Hemiscylliidae.